GUGGGGAAUAUUGGACAAUGGGCGAAAGCCUGAUCCAGCCAUGCCGCGUGUGUGAAGAAGGUCUUCGGAUUGUAAAGCACUUUAAGUUGGGAGGAAGGGCAGUAAGUUAAUACCUUGCUGUUUUGACGUUACCGACAGAAUAAGCACCGGCUAACUUCGUGCCAGCAGCCGCGGUAAUACGAAGGGUGCAAGCGUUAAUCGGAAUUACUGGGCGUAAAGCGCGCGUAGGUGGUUUUGUAAGUUGGAGGUGAAAUCCCCGGGCUCAACCUGGGAACUGCCUCAAAAACUGCAUUACUAGAGUACGGUAGAGGGUAGUGGAAUUUCCUGUGUAGCGGUGAAAUGCGUAGAUAUAGGAAGGAACACCAGUGGCGAAGGCGACUACCUGGACUGAUACUGACACUGAGGUGCGAAAGCGUGGGGAGCAAACAGGAUUAGAUACCCGAGUAGUCC
Molecule: ribosomal RNA, 450 nt
Filed under: uncultured bacterium
Lineage: Bacteria
Description: partial 16S ribosomal RNA
Rfam family: Bacterial small subunit ribosomal RNA
Source: RNAcentral